UGGGUGACCAACUGAGCCAUCCAGGCACCUUGUGUAAAUUCCCUUAAGUUUUCUAUCAGGACUUAAUAUUAAGCAUAACUACAAAAAAGGUUCCAUAGUUUGAAGGAGUGAAAAGUGAAUCUGACUUGUCAUUAAGGAAGAAGUGAGUAUUCUUAGAAGGUGUGUGGCUGCUUCUCAAGCUGAGUGUGGACCUGCAAGGGCUGACUGAGCCUGAGGCACCCUCACCCACUUCUGCAUCUUAUCCAACCAACUUUUGUUUGAUUGCUUGCCUUGCCAUGGAAGACAGGAUUCUUUGCAGGACAGCUAAGGGGCACAUAGAAUCCUAAACAACAGGGAGAGGACUUUGAAUAAUCCAAUUCAUACCAUUUUCCUUUCUGUAAACAACUACAAUCUCCAUGAAAUCUUGGAGGAUAAUAUGAGGAUGAAAGAAAAAGACAACUGUGACUGUUUUGUUGUUCAUCUGAUAGCUCUAUAUGCCUUCUGAAAAAUUAAAUGUUGAUAAUCGUGGAAAAUAUAGCUUCCAAAUAAGUAAUUCAAAUCACUCACUGAGAAUCUCACAUAAUUCUUUGUUUUGUAAGUCAUUCAUAUAGAAUGUGCCACAUACUGGAACCCAGAGACGUCCUCCAACAAUGUAAAAUGACAAUCUGCUAUGCAACCCCCAUUUUUAAAAAAAAU
Molecule: long non-coding RNA, 675 nt
Organism: Canis lupus familiaris (dog)
Lineage: Eukaryota; Metazoa; Chordata; Mammalia; Carnivora; Canidae
Exons: 4
Source: RefSeq, a predicted model, not a curated record